UUAGGGAGACCUACUUCAGGACACCGUGCGAUGAUAAUAAUGGCCGAGUCUUGAGGUCAUCCUUAGGUCGGAUGGGGCGGUCAGAGAGCUUUCAAACUUUAGGGUUCGUGUUAUGGGCUAUUAGCUCAGGUGGUUAGAGCGCACCCCUGAUAAGGGUGAGGUCCCUGGUUCAAGUCCAGGAUGGCCCACAUCCACCCCAAACUGGGGGUAUAGCUCAGUUGGUAGAGCGCUGCCUUUGCACGGCAGAAGUCAGCGGUUCGAGUCCGCUUACCUCCACUCUCCUUUAAUUAGGUGCUAGUUGGGGUGAGGUAGUCUUGAAUUGAGAAAUUGAGAGUUGGUG
This 340-nucleotide transfer RNA is filed under the name uncultured Arthrospira sp. RNAcentral's name for it is "partial 16S-23S ribosomal RNA intergenic spacer". The stretch from base 204 to 276 matches the Rfam family "tRNA". The record is from RNAcentral. Lineage: Bacteria; Bacillati; Cyanobacteriota; Cyanophyceae; Oscillatoriales; Microcoleaceae.